GUUUGGGCCUCAAUCAAUUUAAAUGGGCCUUUCGCUCUAGGUUUUAGUUCAAUCGUAAUAAAUUUAUGUGAAAUAAAUACAAAUACUAAAUCUAAAAAGAACCAGUGCAUUAAAUAUAAACAUUCUAAAAAUAAAUAAAAAGAAAAUAAGAAUUGAUGCAUGAUGAAAAUUCGAAAACUACUGCAAAUCUCACACGUGCAACUUUUUCUUCGGCUUGGAGAGAUUCAUUUUGAUCAGGAAGCGAUAAUUAUGAAGCAUUUAUCGUGAGAACAUUGUCAUGCCUGCUUUAAUGUCUUGCACAAGGAAUCGAGUCCACUGCGAGCAGUACCUCGGCCCAGCAUUUUCGCCCUCAAGGUUAUCCUGCAAAUAAAAGAUCCACUUAAAGCCAGUUAAUUAAGUCCUUGACAAAUGAAAUAAUUUUAAAGUCCAGCAUCUUUUAUGAAUACCUCAAUUGCACAAGAGAUGCAAUGCUUUAAAAGUGUACAAUCUUCCCUCAACACACAAACAAUACAUUCUCUUAUUACAGCAAUAUUAUCAUCUGUUAGCUAUCCCAGAUAGUCUGCUGUUAUAAGGCUUACACUAAAGAAUAUCACGUAACUAAAGCUUUAACAAUGUCAAAUGACACAAACGAAAUGCAUUCAAGGAAGCUGGAAACAGCAGAAAACAUAUUUACCUCCACCCUUUUCCACAAUAAAGACGUAUUUUUCCGAUGGCAGAAACUACAUAAUCAACUCUUUUGGUUUAUUAGGAAAGGAAAAGAAACUGAAUUUGUGCUUCCUUUUCUUUAGUUUAGGAUAUGCGUCUUAUCAGUCAAAAUGCUAUGAGACCUAAAGAAAAUGAAGACUAAAAAUGGAAAAUAAAUAAAUCAAGCACCAGAUGCUAAUAAUCAUUGCAAAGAUGACAACAGUAUAUCAUCAGAAUGCUUAAUAUUAAGUUUGAAUUGCAUGUCCGAUCAACUAACGCAUUUUUAGAAGAAAACAAGGCACCAACCAGUGAUGAUGGAUCACCAAAUGAUAAGCCUACUUCCCAGAGUUUGGUUAAAUGGCAGGGCCAGCCUAUUGAUGAUGAUAAAUGGCUGGAUGAUGAUUUAAAGGGCCAAUUUCCAUGUUUCAGCUUUAAGGACAAGGUUGUUUUUAAAGAGGGUGGCAACUAUAACACGAAGGAAGGGCCAAAGGCACAUAGAUUGUUUACUCUAGAACAUAAAAGCAGAAUCAAAAAGAUUAGGAGAGGAUGUAGCGUUAGUUAUGCCAAAGCAUGACUUGUGUAUGAGUACUAGAAAAGCUAUAAACAGGAUCAAGGAGGGAAAAGAGGGUAUCAAGUGUUUUCCUUGAGUAAUUGGGAGCUGGAAAUUAUUCUUGCUUGGGGAGACUUAUCUCCUAUACUUGAUAGUUGUAUUACAAUUUUCACAAUUCAAUCAAAUUAUCCCUCCUCCAUUCCCUAUUUAGCUAUUUAUGUCACUGUUAUUUUGCUUAGUUAAAUUCCCUUCUCUAUCAAAAAGAUGCAACUAUUGCCAAGUUUUGUUAUGAGCUUAUGUCUGAAUUUUGGUAAUAAUCUUAAACCAAUCAACUAUUGUUAAAUAUGAAGGUCAAUAGACAUGAAAUGCUGAGGGAGGCACACUAAGGGCCACGUAAAACACAGUGAUAAAUUUAUCAAGUGUCACAUCAAUAGAAAUAACUUGGAAAUAUGCUACUGCAGGUUAAAUAGGUUUUAUAUCACUUAAAUUGAUGUUGAGGGAGUUUAAAGGGAGAAAAUAAAGUUUAGGCAACUUACUAUUACAUACCCCUAAAUUAAGGUACCAUGUCUGUGCAAUUUACCCCAUCCACAUAGUUUUACUAAUUCCUACAUUUUUAAAAUUUUUUCUUGAUUCUGCCAGAUUUAAAAAAAAAUGAAUGACACAAGUUAUGUUUUCCACAAUAAUAGAGACAAGUCAAUAGAGUUUCCAAUCAAACUAUAAGCCAAUUAUGAGUUUAUAAAUGAAAAUCCAAAAAUUUUAAAUUUGUGAAAAAAUUCAUUUAUGCCCAAUUUGAGGAAAGAUAAGUCAGCUAAUUCUCCAUCCUUCGUCAUUUUUAAACACCUAAAUAAAAGUAACUUGAUUUAAUAUCUCUAAACUGAAAGAAAAGUUCAUGAUAUCUGAGGCAUAAUGUCUAAUAAGUGGAUUCACAAUAACUAAGAAAUAAAAGAGAAGAUGCUGACAUAUUUACAAAAAAGUGAAGCCAUGGAAUUUAAGAAAAAGAGAAAUAAAAAAAUGAAAUGAAAAAAAAAAAUCUCAAACAACAAAUUGUUAUAACUUAAAAUAGAAGGCAAGUUCUCAAUCAAUGUGCAAUGCUACAAACUACAGCAGAAUCACAGCAAAGAUGGAAAGUUAGAAAGACUAACAGGCAAUAUCAACCCUCUACAUGCUAGUUCAGCAAAUGCUAAAAAUGCUUGGAGAACUUAAAAAUCUUCAAACAAGGGGGCAGGCUCAAAUUUUCUAAGAUCAUUACUAUUUGCAAUACUAGAAGUCUAGAAUCAACGAAGGAAAUAUCAAAUGGAGUUCGUGCGAGAAUAGACAGCAAGAUAUAUCACAUUUUUCACCUCAGACCAUCCUGUAUUUUCCUGCAUCCUGAAGUUGUCAUAGUACUUCUACAAGAGAGGCUACAAAAACCCUAAUCAAGCAAUACAUAUGAUGAAUAUCGAUUACUCUUGAGUAUUGUUGAAAUGAUUAAACACAAACAAUCCCUAUUUCAUGGUUCUAGUACGGUAGACGAAUAAUUGAUCGUACAAUAAUUACCCCCAAUUCACUCGAGUAACUAUGCUCUCCAAGCAGUCUCCACUGGUUAUCGCUCCUAACACUUGCCAUCUAAAACACCAAUAGAAGAAUCAAUCGAUCAUACAAUGAUUGAUCUCACAUCAUAAGAAAGCAAUUUGUGAAAUAAAAAUAUAGAUAGAAGAAAUGAAUUUACAAUUGAUCGAACUUUCGUGGACGGAGGCGGCGUCGGAGAUGCGGACAUUGGGAACAAUGUCGUGGAGGAGGAACGUGACUGGAAAGGGAAACAAAGGGGAGAUGUGAUGAUUGAAUACAGGUGAUCGGAGAAGAAAAGAGAGUGUUACUACAAGCUAGGGUUCGGCGUGGCAAUUUAAAAAAGAAAAAGGAAAAAUGAAGCUUCUAGUGUAGUGCCAUGCCCGAAAAUAAGGUAGAUUCCGCCAACUGGAUCUCUAGCCGAUAUGGAGCUCUUAACCUUAAACUUCGGUGAUCCAAACUUAAUUUUUGUUGUUGCGAUAGACUACUAUAAUUUUUCAAAAAAAAAAUUUUGAAAUUCAUAACUUUAAAAGUGUCACGAAAAUUAUAAACUGAUUACAAAAUUUAAUAUGAAAAUUCUAUCAUAUAAAUAUUAUUUUUACAGUUUAAUUAUUUUAUUUUAAAUAUUUUCAUAAUUUUACAUAUUAAAUUUUUAUUUUUAUUAUAAAUAAUCUUUUUUA
RNAcentral lists this long non-coding RNA (3459 nucleotides) under Manihot esculenta (cassava). RNAcentral's name for it is "long non-coding RNA (MESC_LNC009966)". The record is from RNAcentral. Lineage: Eukaryota; Viridiplantae; Streptophyta; Magnoliopsida; Malpighiales; Euphorbiaceae.